AAGUCGUAACAAGGUAACCGUAGGUGAACCUGCGGUUGGAUCAUUACCAAAUAUCCAAUGGGGAAGGGGCGUUCCUAGGGGCAGUCUAACCACUCCACUAGGCCCACGUCUCUUUUUCCAUUUCCCACCUCUUGUGCAAUGUAAUGUAUUUGGCGGGCCACGCUCAACCCUCUCCACAGGAGAGGUUUGAGAUUGCUUAUGAAGGCGGUCCUAUACGGACCGCCCUCAACCGUCAUGUUAACACACCUAAUAUUAUCUAUACCAACAAUCUGACGUUUAUAUGCUAGGGGACGCGUUUGCGUAACCUGGAACAUAACCGAAAACAACUUUUGACAACGGAUCUCUUGGCUCUC
RNAcentral lists this unclassified non-coding RNA (353 nucleotides) under fungal sp. RNAcentral describes it as "partial internal transcribed spacer region". The stretch from base 1 to 46 matches the Rfam family "Eukaryotic small subunit ribosomal RNA", at positions 1786 to 1831 of the family's 1831-position model. The record is from RNAcentral. Lineage: Eukaryota; Fungi.